AAACGAUGUAUGUGACACUAUGAGAAGGUGUACUCUCAAUGUGAGGUGAAAUUGGUCUGUGGAAACUAGGACUUUUCUUUUUAUGAUUUUCUGAAUGUAUAGACAAAACAGCCGAAACAUGAGAUUUGGGGGGCUCUUAUUUUGGAAUACAACAUCAGAAUGUCCUAAAACGGUGUGAUUGACACUGAGAAGGUGUACUCUCCAUCUGAGGUAAAAUUGGUCUGUGGAAACUAGGACUUUUCUUAGUUUUAGAAUGUAUGGACAAAACAUCGUAUAUAUGAGUGUUGGAGGGCUUUUAUUUUGGAAUUUAGCAGCCGACAGUGUCAGACUGUGAGGUGUACUAUCAUUUUCGGGUGACUUUGGCCUGUUAAAUUUUUAUUUAUAUUUAUUUAUUUAGGCCUUUUUUCCAUUUACUCGGGGAGACUUUUGUUUUGGAAUUCAGCAUAUCAUACAUUGACAGGGUCCGAGGUGUACUAUCAUUUUUUUUCAAUCACUAUCAUGAUUCGACACUCUGAUUCAUAACGCUCCGAAUCUUCCUGAAGCAGUGUUUUGAAAUCGGCCAUCACUAAAUAAUUCGUUUUUUUUUUUUUUUUUUUUUGGCGCACCAAAAAUAUUCUCGUUGCUUUAUAAUAUUAAUAUUGAACCACUGUACUCACAUGAACUGAUUUAAAUAUGUUUUUAGUACAUUAAUGGAUCUUGAGAGAGGAAAUGUCAUUGCUCCCUAUGUAGGCCUCACGGAGCCAUCGGAUUUAAAUAAAAAUAUCUCAAUUUGCGUUCCGAAGAUGAACGAAGGUCUUAUGGGUGUGGAACGGCGUGAGGACUUGUUGCGCUUUGUGUGUUCAUUUGGCCCGCUCUGGGAGUAACGUUAAACGACAGGCGACUGCUGUGCGAGGAUGCGCAAUCUUCUCAGCUUCUUCAGAAGAGAGGGACAAAAUGAUUUAUGAACUCAAACCAACUAUGGAGAGGAGCCCUUCUCCUUGGUCUUCCUUUCUUAAAGGAAUAGUUCACACAAAAAUAAAAAUUGUCACCAUUUACCCAACCUCAUGUCUUUAAUAAGACUUUUGUCCAUCUAUGGAAGACAAAUGAAGAUAUUUUUAAUAUUGUCAUCUUUUUUAUUCAUUUAUUUGUAUCCAUUUACAGUCUAGAUAAGUAUUUUUAAGCUUCACAAAUGCAGUUAUUGUAGUAAUCCAUACCAAUAUUUAUAUAUGAAUAAAAUCCUUAAUUAUAUCUGUUUAUAUCAUUAUAAAGCAAUCAUGUCUGUUCAGAAAAUUAAAAAAUUUUGGACUCCCAGAUUUGCAAUGGAUGGACAAAAAAUUGAGAGAAUAUAAAAAAUAUCUUCAUUUGUGUUUCAAAGAUUAGCAAAAGUCUUAUGGUUUUGGAAGGACAUGAGGGAGAGUAAAUUAUGACAGUUUUCUUUUUUGGGUGAACUAAUACUUUAAAGAGCAGCCCUCCAAGUUCAUCAAAAUGUGUGAGGUGGCGACAGGGAUGAUACUGGUCAAAAAGGAGAAUGACCUUCCCCAAUGAAGAUCACUGAUGUGACAGUGCUUUUAAAGGAGAAGAUUGUCCUGGACAAUUUAAAGGAUGUUGCAUGCCUUUGCUGUGCUGAUGGAGCUUCAUGACUGGACAUCAGUUAUCCUAAGGAGGUCAUGAAAAUUGGCCGUGAUGCGUGUUCUGUACGUAUUCAUGGACUUAAUGAACUUUUAGCAUAUAAUCUGACAAAUGUUCGAUGCUUGUUCAUUGUUGUUUAGUGGAGGAAUUCACACUCUCAUUCAAACUCACAUUCUUUCACAUGUAUACCUGCCUUAUGCUGCGUUCACACCGAAUGCGAAUCGCGCGUCAAAUUCACGUUGGACGCUUCAACAUUUUGAAGUCAGAUGCUUCAGACACGCGUCAAAUUCGCUCUAUUCACACGUCUAAACAAAGUGUGUUCAGACGCGAAUUCACGUCAUGGGAGGGGCUUCUGCCUGGUGUGCUACCCAGUGUAUUUGCCGGCCUCCUUGCCAGAUAAUGGCGGAUAUGGAUGCUGCUGAGUAGUAGCGGCAAUUUAGCUCGGUUAUGCCGGCCGGCUUUUGCUAGCUAGCAGGUGGGCUAGUAUCAAUGGCUAAAAUCAUGCAAAGCGUUUUACAACUUACCAGAUUGUCCGAUUUUCUCGCUUAUCCUCUUCCAGGCAAGGUCCUUUUUAUUCCUGUCUCGAUAAAAAUAUGAUGACACAUCAUAGAGCUCAGGGUGGCCACACACAGCGACUAUUAAUUUGUCCUCCAUCUUUGUUCUAGUCUCCACCGCUGAUCACAUCAUACACACGUGACUACCAAAGCAGAGUCCCUGAUUGGUUAACGUGCCGCGAAUAUUCGCCAAAGUUCAGAUUUUUCAACUCUGGCGUCUAGGGCGUCAGACGCUCGAUUCGCACGUGUGAACGCUCAAUUCACGCCACACCAUUCGCGCCGCAGGACGUCUAGACGCGCGUUUACAUUGACUUAACAUGUAAAUCAGACGCGUUCGGUGUGAACGCAGCAUUAGAGAAUUCAAUAACUAACAAAUGUUAUAAUGUCAGUGUUAAUGUUGUGGUUUAUUUGUGUUUAGUCAUGUUUGUAAAACAAACAAAAAAACUUUAGUCAUGUUAACUUAUUAUAACUCUUGUAAUAUAGCUCCAUAUUUUAGGCAACAAUAGAGAUUUUAAGUAAUUAUUACCAAGUAGUUUUGUAAACAACUUAAGGUUAUGGAUUUAUAGUUAUAAGUUUGAAAUUGAGUGAACUUUGGAAGUUAACUUGUUACUUUUGUUUACUUAAAUAAAUUAUUGCAAUAUUUAAUACAAUUACUUAAAGUUGAAACCAGUGAAUAAUUUUAUAGUGUAGUGUUUUCGUUGGCGGUGGAUAAUAUGCACAACAAAAAUCUUAUAUUUGUCUUAUUUAUAAGAUUUAUUUAUUUUUAUGUCUUAUUUGGUCUUAAAUGCCAGUUCUAUUCAUCAAUGUUCUCUGAAAUGUGACAAACAAUUUCAUUUAUCUGUAUAAACUGUGUGGCUGUUGAUUUGCAAUUCUUUUCUUAUUUUCAUCUCACAUGCAUGUUGUUACUUUUGACCAUGUUCUUGUUUUUAAUAAAUUUUUACCUUUUGAUAGUCA
Molecule: long non-coding RNA, 3116 nt
Organism: Ctenopharyngodon idella (grass carp)
Lineage: Eukaryota; Metazoa; Chordata; Actinopteri; Cypriniformes; Xenocyprididae
Exons: 5
Source: RefSeq, a predicted model, not a curated record